This 376-nucleotide ribosomal RNA is filed under the name uncultured organism. RNAcentral's name for it is "bacterial SSU rRNA". It matches the Rfam family "Bacterial small subunit ribosomal RNA", at positions 526 to 896 of the family's 1533-position model. The record is from RNAcentral.
CGGGGGGAGCAAGCGUUGUUCGGAUUUACUGGGCGUAAAGGGCGCGUAGGCGGCCACCGCAAGUCGGUUGUGAAAUCUCCGGGCUUAACCCGGAAAGGUCAAUCGAUACUGCGGGGCUAGUGUGCAGAGGGGGGCAUCUGGAAUUCUCGGUGUAGCGGUGAAAUGCGUAGAUAUCGAGAGGAACACCUGCGGCGAAGGCGGGUUGCUGGGCUGACACUGACGCUGAAGCGCGAAAGCUAGGGGGAGCGAACGGGAUUAGAUACCCCGGUAGUCCUAGCCUUAAACGGUGAAUGCUUGGUGUCUGGGGUUUUAUAGUCCCCGGGUGCCGUCGCUAACGCUUUAAGCAUUCCGCCUGGGGAGUACGGUCGCAAGACUG